AUUGAACGCUGGCGGCAGGCCUAACACAUGCAAGUCGAGCGGUGGAAGGGAGCUUGCUUCUGGAUUCAGCGGCGGACGGGUGAGUAAGGCCUAGGAAUCGGCUUGGUAGUGGGGGAGAACGUCCGGAAACGGGCGCUAAGACCGCACACGUCCUGAGGGAGAAAGAGGGGGAUCUUCGGACCACACUCUAUCAGAAGAGCCUAGGUAGGAUUAGCUAGUUGGUGGGGUAAAGGCCGACCAAGGCGACGAUCCGUAACUGGUCUGAGAGGAUGAUUGGUCCCACUGGAAUUGAGACACGGCCCAGACUCUUACGGGAGGCAGCAGUGGGGAAUAUUGGCCAAUGGGCGAAGUCCUGCUCCAGCCCUGCCGCGUGUGUGAAGAAGGUCUUCGGAUUGUAAAGCACGUUAAGUGGGGAGGACGGGCAGUAAGUUGAUACCUUGCUGUUUUGACGUUACCAACAGAAUAAGCACCGGCUAACUUCGUG
Molecule: ribosomal RNA, 484 nt
Filed under: uncultured bacterium
Lineage: Bacteria
Description: partial 16S ribosomal RNA
Rfam family: Bacterial small subunit ribosomal RNA
Source: RNAcentral